Molecule: transfer RNA, 703 nt
Filed under: Acinetobacter johnsonii
Lineage: Bacteria; Pseudomonadati; Pseudomonadota; Gammaproteobacteria; Moraxellales; Moraxellaceae
Description: partial 16S-23S ribosomal RNA intergenic spacer
Rfam family: tRNA (bases 62-135)
Source: RNAcentral
ACGAAAGAUUGACGAUUGGUAAGAAUCCACAACAAGUUGUUCUUCAUGACGAUGUAUCUGAGGGUCUGUAGCUCAGUUGGUUAGAGCACACGCUUGAUAAGCGUGGGGUCACAAGUUCAAGUCUUGUCAGACCCACCAAAUCUGACUAACAAGCAUUGUUAAAUGCUGAAUACAGAAAAACAGAGACAUUGACUUAUUGAUAAGCUGGGGACUUAGCUUAGUUGGUAGAGCGCCUGCUUUGCACGCAGGAGGUCAGGAGUUCGACUCUCCUAGUCUCCACCAAAUUUUAAGAAUAGAAAACUUAAAGCACUGCUUUAAGGCUUUUCCUUGAAAUUUAAGCAAGAAGCUAUGCUUCGCGCAGAUAGGUUGGAUUACAGAAAUUAGUAAGUAGAUAACUUAUUAACUUCUGUGAUUUAUCACAGUUUCCUGACCUGACGAAGGCUGGAAAAAUCAUUAACAGAAUAUAUUUGAGUUGAAAUAAUUUGUUCAUACUCGUUUUUAAGAUUGACAUUAACAGUGAUUUAUUACUGAUUGAUGAAGGUUGAAGAAAUGAGUUACUAGCGAAAUUAACUGAAUCAAGCGUUUUGGUAUGUGAAUUGAAUUGAAGCUGUACGUAGUUAAAUCUACAAGGCUCCAACUGUAGCGAUUAAGUUCGCGACGCAAUAUCCUACUUGUAGGGAUUAGCGACUGUUUGGGGUUGUAU